CCUACGGGAGGCAGCAGUGAGGAAUAUUGGUCAAUGGGAGAGAUCCUGAACCAGCCAAGCCGCGUGAGGGAAGACGGCCCUAUGGGUUGUAAACCUCUUUUGUCGGAGAACAAAACCCGGGACGUGUCCCGGACUGCGUGUAUCCGAAGAAAAAGCAUCGGCUAACUCCGUGCCAGCAGCCGCGGUAAUACGGAGGAUGCGAGGGUUAUCGGGAUUUAUUGGGGUUAAGGGGUGCGUAGGCGGUCCGUUAAGUUAGCGGUAAAAUUGCGGGGCUCAACCCCGUAGGGCCGUUGAAACUGGCAGACUUGAGUUGGCGAGAGGUACGCGGAAUGCGCGGUGUAGCGGUGAAAUGCAUAGAGAUCACGCAGAACUCCGAUUGCGAAGGCAGCAUACCGGCGCGCAACUGACGCUCAUGCACGAAAGCGUGGGUAUCGAACAGGAUUAGAUACCCUGGUAGUC
RNAcentral lists this ribosomal RNA (459 nucleotides) under uncultured bacterium. RNAcentral describes it as "partial 16S ribosomal RNA". It matches the Rfam family "Bacterial small subunit ribosomal RNA", at positions 338 to 795 of the family's 1533-position model. The record is from RNAcentral.